This 28-nucleotide non-coding RNA is filed under the name Rattus norvegicus (Norway rat). Lineage: Eukaryota; Metazoa; Chordata; Mammalia; Rodentia; Muridae. The record is from RNAcentral.
UAAGAUGAAUAUGAUGCUUUGGGGUGGG